GUGUUUUCCUUAAGCUUCCAGAAUCACAACAUUCAACCUAGUCUGUUCCUGCAAACCCCCAACGAUUUAUGUGUUUAUUUAACUCGGUGAAGACCCUUCAGCUCCGUUAUUGGAUUGGCAUUUCUGGGAUACGGAUGACCCCGGUCUGGUUAAAGUCUUCUAAUUUGCAACCUUUAGGGGACACUUGCCAUGUUACCUCUGGGUGGCUCCCGGCAUGCUCAUUGAUUACAUUUGCAGCUAGAAAAGAAGGAAAACUGCUCAAAACAAAAACAAAAACAAACCAACAAACCCCCCAGGAAGGAAGAGCGGAGGAGGGAGCCCUGCAUGAGGACAAGUUUAAAUCGAGAGAAUCCGUCACCUCAGGCUACGGCUGCUCGUUACACAGUUGUGUAAACAUUUACAAAGACAGGACCCAAUAGGGUAAGAUCGGGGUUGGCAGUCGACUGUGCGUGAGUGUGAGUGGGGUUCUGAGGUUUCAAAGAAAGGACUUGACCAAUCCUUUGUCAGUUUCUUUUUUUUUCAAAACGCUUCCUUUAGGUAAACACACACACACACACACACACACACACAAGAAACAA
Molecule: long non-coding RNA, 578 nt
Organism: Panthera uncia (snow leopard)
Lineage: Eukaryota; Metazoa; Chordata; Mammalia; Carnivora; Felidae
Exons: 2
Source: RefSeq, a predicted model, not a curated record